UGGCUCCUUGGUCAAGCGGUUAAGACACCGCCCUUUCACGGCGGUAACACGGGUUCGAGUCCCGUAGGUCCCGU
RNAcentral lists this transfer RNA (74 nucleotides) under Staphylococcus argenteus. RNAcentral describes it as "tRNA-Glu". It matches the Rfam family "tRNA". From Rfam's summary of the family: Transfer RNA (tRNA) molecules are approximately 80 nucleotides in length. Lineage: Bacteria; Bacillati; Bacillota; Bacilli; Caryophanales; Staphylococcaceae. The record is from RNAcentral.